Molecule: long non-coding RNA, 2368 nt
Filed under: Homo sapiens (human)
Lineage: Eukaryota; Metazoa; Chordata; Mammalia; Primates; Hominidae
Description: non-protein coding lnc-COPG2-5:1
Source: RNAcentral
GAUGGCUCCCACAUUUUUACUGUCAUAAAUAGGCUUCAGUGGACACAUUAGGCAUAGAAGUUGUUCUAUUUCUUCAUCUGUAAAAUGGGGAUUGUAAUAUUUACUUUCCAGGGUCAUAGGGAUAAGAGAGCUAAAGGAUGUAAAGUCCGGAACUAGUGCUGUCUUUUAGAUCAUGGUAACAUCAGUUUGCAAAAGAAACGAAUACCAGCUUGUGUGGUUUCCAUGAUGGGAAACCAUCCAGUCCCUGCUGGUGUGACGGUAGGAAUGGGCUUGUCCAUCGUUCCCGGGAACUCAGACAGGUGGACCUGACCUUUUAUUCCUUGGGGGUUUCUCGUAGUCUUGGGACAUCAGCCCAGUGCCUUGGAACCUUAACUCAUCUGACUCUUAGAAAAAUGCCCAUGGCAAGAUCAUCAUUCUGUAUGACGAUGAUGAAAGGCUGGCCAGUCAGGCGGCCACCACCAUGUGCGAGCGUGGAUUUGAAAACCUCUUCAUGCUUUCCGGAGGUGAGCAAGGUGAUACUCUGCUUGGGACUUCAAAGGCUGAUCAUCCUUCAGUCCCACCUGCAUCCCCUUUUCUCUCUUGGUGCUCAGAAUUCAGUGUUCUGGAAAGAGAAAAAGCCAUGCUGGCUGAAAGGAGUCAGGAGUUAUGUGAAACUUCCCUUAGCUUCAUCAGCACAUGUUUUUAAUUCCUGAUGUUGCUUCAGGGCUCUGUCACAAAGCCCUAAUGCUGAAGACUCGAGCAAAAGGAUUUCUUGUGGAAUUCUCAGAAUCCCAUGUAACAACAGAUAUUUUCUGGUAUAAUUUGCUUAAUGAUGAAAUAGUUAAGAAAGAUUUCAUGUCCUUGUGUUGGCCUCAACUUGAUGACCAGAGAUUAGAAGACAUGCAGGCUUCUUUCCAGGUUUUGGCCUGGCCUUGCCAUAUUAAUGCAGCUUUUUCUGAUGAUUUUCCAAACCUAGGUCUAAAAGUCUUAGCUCAGAAAUUCCCGGAAGGACUGAUUACUGGUUCCCUGCCAGCAUCUUGCCAGCAGGCCCUUCCUCCUGGGUCUGCCCGGAAACGAUCCAGCCCCAAAGGGCCACCCCUACCAGCUGAGAAUAAAUGGAGAUUUACCCCAGAAGACUUAAAAAAGAUAGAAUAUUAUCUGGAAGAGGAGCAAGGGCCUGCAGAUCAUCCUAGUAAGAUCUUUUGACCUUUAAAGAUAAUGUUUGGUUUGCAGCUUUGAAUAUCACCUCAUCAUAUGAAAACCUUCAUCUCUUAUAUUUAGAUUCUUAAAAUACUAGGGAGGUAUGUUACAGGUGCUGGGGAGGGGAGGCAGUGGAGGUGACCCCAGAUAGUGGCAAGAAUUACGCAUUGAAGAGAGACUUUAUCAAAACAUAGCGACUUUUUUUUUUUUUGAGACAGAGUCUUGCUCUGUCACCCAGGCUGGAAUGCAAUGGGAUGAUCUUGGCUCACUGCAACCUCCGUCUCCCCGGUUCAAGCGAUUCUCCCACAUCAGCCUCCCGAGUAGGUGGGAUUACAGGUGCCCGCCACCACACCAGGCUAAUUUUUUUGUAUUUUAAGUAGAGACAGGGUUUCACCAUGUUGGCCAGGCUGGUCUCGAACUUCUGGCCACAAGUGAUCCACCCACCUCAGCCUUCCAAAGUGCUAGGAUUACAGGCAUGAGCCACCACGCCCAGGCAAAAAUGUAGAGACUUCAUCAAAAAGUAUAUCUCAGGUAAAAUUGAGGAGUUAAGCAUCAGACCUUCAGAUUCCUUCUUGGAAAGUUUUCGAUUCCUUCUGCAGCUUUUGCUUCUCCACUCUGAGAGCCUCUGUGGUUUGUCUUCCUACCUUAGUUUCACCGUACUGCUUUCUCUUUUCUUUCCCCAAAUCACUCCUCGUCUGCAUCCUCUCUACCAAGGAAGUAGUGGAGGACAGACUAGGUUUGUUGGGGAUGUUGGAGAGGAAGGGAAAAAAAACCUAUCUGGGUUUCCCUUCAUUUCUGUCCCCCUCCCCACCUUCAGGCUGAUCUCAAGGAUGAGGAGUAGGCCAUCGUUGGCCUAAAGUAGAUACUGCAUAGGACUUCAUUAGCUUAAAAGUGGUUGUAGGCUAGGACUUCAUUAGCUUAAAACUGUACUUGGCAGAUUGUCCCUGGAAUCAUUCUUGCAGCUCUGUUCCUUCUUUCUUGCUCCCUUCAGGCCGACUGAACCAAGCUAACUCCUCCGGAAGAGAGUCCAAGGUGCCUGGUGCCCGAAGCGCUCAGAAUCUGCCAGGUGGCGGCCCCGCCAGCCACUCAAACCCCCGCUCCCUCAGCAGUGGUCACCUGCAAGGCAAACCCUGGAAGUAAAGACUUUGUCUCACUUAGGCAAAUAAAUGUUCUUCCUCUUUUCAGAACC